RNAcentral lists this small RNA (28 nucleotides) under Bombyx mori (domestic silkworm). RNAcentral describes it as "ovarian small RNA-22244". Lineage: Eukaryota; Metazoa; Arthropoda; Insecta; Lepidoptera; Bombycidae. The record is from RNAcentral.
UAGCACCGUGGUCUUACGUCUAGGGCCU